CGGGAUCUAUCCCGUAAAGGAAUGUGGCUCAAAAGAGCUGAACCUGGAG
This 49-nucleotide non-coding RNA is filed under the name unclassified sequences. The record is from Rfam.